AACGCUGGCGGCGUGCCUAAUACAUGCAAGUCGAACGGUCUUUUCAUGGAAGCGUUGCUUCCGCUGAGAAGAUAGUGGCGAACGGGUGAGUAACACGUGGGUAACCUGCCCAUAAGAGGGGGAUAACAUCCGGAAACGGGUGCUAAUACCGCAUAGUUUCUUGAUCGCAUGAUCGGGAAGGAAAGACGGCCUUUGUGCUGUCGCUUAUGGAUGGACCCGCGGCGUAUUAGUUAGUUGGUGAGGUAACGGCUCACCAAGACGAUGAUACGUAGCCGACCUGAGAGGGUGAUCGGCCACAUUGGGACUGAGACACGGCCCAAACUCCUACGGGAGGCAGCAGUAGGGAAUCUUCCGCAAUGGACGAAAGUCUGACGGAGCAACGCCGCGUGAGUGAAGAAGGUUUUCGGAUCGUAAAACUCUGUUGUCAGAGAAGAACAAGUUGGAGAGUAACUGCUCCAGCCUUGACGGUAUCUGACCAGAAAGCCACGGCUAACUACGUG
Molecule: ribosomal RNA, 500 nt
Filed under: uncultured bacterium
Lineage: Bacteria
Description: bacterial SSU rRNA
Rfam family: Bacterial small subunit ribosomal RNA
Source: RNAcentral